GAGCAAAUUGCAUGGAUGGUUUCUGUUGCUGCUGAUACUAUUGCAAGCAAAGAGAAAGAAGGUCUAUGGUUUGCUAGUCCAUUUCUUCUAUUCCUUGUACCAUCCCAAGAAAAAGCUACCAAGGUACGUCUAGUUUGCAAACCGUUGAAAGAUCUUGGUAUACAUACAGUGAGUUUACAUCCGGGUGCCACUUUGGAUCAUCAGAUUCGUGGUCUGAAGAGUUGUGAACCUGAGUUUCUUGUGUCCACACCCGAGAGGCUUGUGGAGCUUCUUUCCUUGAAGGCCAUUGAUAUAUCUGGGGUCUCCUUCUUGGUUGUUGAUGGAUUGGAUUGUCUUCAUCAAGAUGGUUACCUUGGUACUCUAAAAUCCAUCAGGCAAUGUAUU
RNAcentral lists this unclassified non-coding RNA (384 nucleotides) under Hevea brasiliensis (rubber tree). Lineage: Eukaryota; Viridiplantae; Streptophyta; Magnoliopsida; Malpighiales; Euphorbiaceae. The record is from RNAcentral.